GACGAACGCUGGCGGCGUGGAUUAGGCAUGCAAGUCGAACGGUAUCAUCCUUUCGGGGGUGAGAGAGUGGCGAACUGGUGAGUAACACGUAGGUUAUCUACCCUCAAGACGGGGACAACCCAGGGAAACUUGGGCUAAUACCGGAUGUGAGCAACUUUUAGUUGUUUGAAAGGUGGCGUAAGCUGUCGCUUGGGGAUGAGCCUGCGUCCUAUUAGUUACGUUGGUGAGGUAACGGCUCACCUAGGCAAUGAUAGGUAGGCGGCCUUAACGGGUGGUCGCCCACACUGGGAUUGAGAUACGGCCCAGACUCCUACGGGAGGCAGCAGUCGAGAAUAGUCUACAAUGGUCGGAAGACUGAUAGUGCGACGCCGCGUGAACGAUGAAUCCCUUCGGGGUGUAAAGUUCUUUUAUAUGUGAGCAGUGCUUCUUAUAUUAACAGUAUGGGGAGAGAGAUAUUAGCAUAUGAAUAAGCAACGGCUAACUCCGUGCCAGCAGCCGCGGUAAUCU
Molecule: ribosomal RNA, 507 nt
Filed under: uncultured bacterium
Lineage: Bacteria
Description: bacterial SSU rRNA
Rfam family: Bacterial small subunit ribosomal RNA
Source: RNAcentral